GUGGGCGUGCCGGAGUGGUUAUCGGGCAUGACUAGAAAUCAUGUGAGCUUUGCUUGCACAGGUCUGAAUCCUGUUGUUCACG
Non-coding RNA from Cucumis melo (muskmelon), 82 nucleotides. Lineage: Eukaryota; Viridiplantae; Streptophyta; Magnoliopsida; Cucurbitales; Cucurbitaceae. The record is from Rfam.